CUGAGAACUGUGGAAGACUCCCAGGAUCUCUUUCCUCUUGGAUUAUUCUCUUUUUAAAAUUAACACCCAAGCACUUACAAGGACUCCAUAAUUUCUUUUUUAUACUGUCUUGGAAUUGAGUUGUUUAACAGAUUACAUAAAAUAAGUAACAUUCACUUGAAGGGUUGGAAGACUCAGAUCCUGUGAUUGACCAACUCAGUUUAGACACAACUUUUGCUGCUUACAGCCACUAGGUCUAGCUAUAAGAAUUAUCUCACAUGAGUAGGAUAUCAAUAUCAGAUGAUUGGGAGGUUUUCUUCAUCCCUGAAGAGUGAUGGCUUGUGCUCCUGUUGACUCUUGCAGAAAUCCAUCAGCUUUGAAGAGGCAAAAAUGACAGGCCUGGAGAAUCAGACCUUCUUCCUAAGAAGAAAGGGUUCUUGGAAGCAUCCCUAUACAAAUUGUGAACUGAGAGACUUCAAAGAAGCUUUCUAUCUACAAAGGCCUAAAGUUCACUUCUCAUGUGAUCAUUAUCUACACCAAAAAACCCCAAAAAACUAAAACAAAAUACCAAACCCAAUAAACCUCAUUCUUCCUUUCACCUGAUUAUUUUAAUGCAGAUACAUUUUGUUAAACCUGGAAAAAUGCCAAAAGAAAAAAAAAAAAUCAUCUAGGUAUUCAAGGAAAUACCUAUGCU
Passer domesticus (house sparrow) is the source of this 673-nucleotide long non-coding RNA. RefSeq lists it as uncharacterized. The transcript is spliced from 3 exons. The record is from RefSeq and is a predicted model, not a curated record. Lineage: Eukaryota; Metazoa; Chordata; Aves; Passeriformes; Passeridae.